RNAcentral lists this non-coding RNA (105 nucleotides) under Butyrivibrio fibrisolvens. RNAcentral describes it as "SAM-I sequence". It matches the Rfam family "SAM riboswitch aptamer (S box leader)". From Rfam's summary of the family: The SAM riboswitch is found upstream of a number of genes which code for proteins involved in methionine or cysteine biosynthesis in Gram-positive bacteria. The SAM riboswitch acts at the level of transcription termination control. The predicted structure consists of a complex stem-loop region followed by a single stem loop terminator region. The record is from RNAcentral. Lineage: Bacteria; Bacillati; Bacillota; Clostridia; Lachnospirales; Lachnospiraceae.
CUCUUAUUCAGAGUGGUGGAGGUACAUAGGACCUGUGAAGCCACGGCAACCCCUUAAUUAUUAGGAAGGUGCCAACCUGAGCGUGCAAAUUACGAGCAAUAAGAG